GCAAAGCAAAAUGAUACCAUCAUCGUCGAAGUUAAGAACAGUUUGUUAACUGAGAAUCUCGCAAUCCAUUGGCAUGGGAUUAGACAGAUUGGAACACCUUGGUUUGAUGGAACAGAAGGGGUUACUCAGUGUCCAGUUGUUCCUGGAGAUACCUUCAAAUAUCAGUUUGUUGUUGACAGGCCUGGAACAUACCUGUACCAUGCCCAUUAUGGAAU
This 215-nucleotide unclassified non-coding RNA is filed under the name Hevea brasiliensis (rubber tree). The record is from RNAcentral. Lineage: Eukaryota; Viridiplantae; Streptophyta; Magnoliopsida; Malpighiales; Euphorbiaceae.